UAGUAACGGCGAGUGAAGAGGGAAAAGCUCAAAUUUUGAAUCUGGUGUCUUUGACUCCCGAGUUGUAAUCUAGAGAAGUGUUUUCCGUGUCGGACCACGUAUAAGUUCCCUGGAACGGGGCGUCAUAGAGGGUGAGAAUCCCGUAUAUGCCGUGGACUACCGAUGCUCUGUGAUACACUCUCAACGAGUCGAGUUGUUUGGGAAUGCAGCUCAAAAUGGGUGGUAAAUUCCAUCUAAAGCUAAAUAUUGGCGAGAGACCGAUAGCGAACAAGUACCGUGAGGGAAAGAUGAAAAGCACUUUGGAAAGAGAGUGAAACAGUACGUGAAAUUGUUGAAAGGGAAGCGUUUGAAGUCAGUCACGUUUGUUGGGAUUCAGCCUGGCUUCUGCCUGGUGUAUUUCCUAGCCGAUGGGUCAGCAUCAGUUUCGACCAAGGGAAAAAGACAUUUGGAAUGUGGCUGUCUUCGGGCAGUGUUAUAGCCUUGUGUUGUAUGCCUUGGUUGGGACUGAGGAAUGCAGCGCGCCUUAUGGCCGGGGGUCGCUCCUCUCGACACGCGCUUAGGA
This 562-nucleotide ribosomal RNA is filed under the name uncultured Sebacinales. Its description in RNAcentral is "eukaryotic LSU rRNA". It matches the Rfam family "Eukaryotic large subunit ribosomal RNA", at positions 81 to 612 of the family's 3401-position model. Lineage: Eukaryota; Fungi; Basidiomycota; Agaricomycetes; Sebacinales. The record is from RNAcentral.